Molecule: long non-coding RNA, 1652 nt
Organism: Pogoniulus pusillus (Red-fronted tinkerbird)
Lineage: Eukaryota; Metazoa; Chordata; Aves; Piciformes; Lybiidae
Exons: 3
Source: RefSeq, a predicted model, not a curated record
UGACUAGAACGAGACUCACCUGUCUUUGUUGACUGCCCUGCCCCUCCCUGACUUCAGUGAUGAACAGGAGAUCCUCAACAGCUAUUACCUCAUGGCUGACACCUGCCUUAAGGACAGAUGGAGACCUGAGCCUUAAUCACUAGUCUGAGCUUCAGGCUAUCUUCCAUCACCCGAGGUAACGCUCACCCUGGGUGUCCAAGGGCCACCCUAGACCUACUCAGAGAUACUGCACAUGGCAAAUAGGAAAUGAGGAAGAUGGUGUGUGGGUUCCCACGUGCAUGGAGCUGGCCUCCUAUUCAAGUCUGAGGAGUUUAUCUGAACCUGAAACGCUUCUGAGGAACUGCUGUCAAAAGCAGCAGCCAUGGAGGUAGGCAGAGCUUUACAUUUCAGACUCUUUCCCUCUACAUAAGCAGUUUAACCUGCCAUGAUGAGAGAUGGGGAGCAGCUUGAUGCAAGCUAAGUUCCGUUUGUUGUACUUUCAGCAGUUGGGUACAUACCUUAACAUACAAGCUAAAGAUCAUGUCAAAUCCUAAUUGGUCAUCAAGACAGACCUCGAACCUUAGCAACUAGAUAAGCAAGGAUUAACAAAACCCACAAGUUCAUGCUUUAUAUUGUUUCAUCUGUUGCAACAUCCUCUGAGGUCAUUUCAACCCUCUAUUUUACUUAACUUUUCCACUUACGCAUUCUGAACCCAUGGCUUACGUUCCAGUAUGUCAAGAUCGAGCAGCUGUACAGCACUAAAAGUCCUACAGUUCCCAACAUUAACCCUUAGUUAUUGUUCUCACCACAAUUCUUCUGCAGGUGAGAUCCUGCUCUUGGACUAGCAGUUUGUCUCCUUUGACUUUUAUCAUAACUGGACUGUCAAUUAGAGACAGAGUUUGGCUUUCUUUACUGUGAAAUAUAAUUCUGUUAUCCCUACAACCACAUUCUACCCUAGGUGAUUUCCCCUUUGACUUUAAUCUUUUUUUAUUAUUAUUAUUUCAUUUAAUCCCAUGAAAUAAAGAGUAUUUCUUACUUGGAUAAGCUGGAUAGCCCUUUGGUCUAAAUGGAGUUCUUUCAUUUGGAGAUUCCUGAUAUGCUAAACCUCUGUGAAAGUUUGAUAAAAGGUAACUUUGAGGCUUUUAAUUAAUUAUGUACAAAAAGUUGACAGUACUCUACUGGGAGGUGUUCCUAAUAAUCCAUGCAUGUAAUAUAGUGGGAACAUUGUUUAUAAAUGUAAAUGAAUCGGAAGGUUUGUAACCUCGAAACAAAAGAAGAUGAGAAAUCAAAUCAUGGCUGGCAACCUCACAAUUAAAUGCUCUAAGAUUAAAUGACCUACUUGAAAGCUACAAUUUUAUCUUUGUUUUCCAGUAAGUAGAGGGAAAAAAUAAUCCUUGUAACAGCUGCUUUAUCUCUUACUGAGAGUGGAGCGAGGAAAUGUUGGUUUUAAUAUUUCAUAUCUCUCACAAAUGAAAAGACAAGCUCUCACAGUUGAGCCUGGCUGGGAAAUGCACAGCUCCUAUCAGGCCAAAGGAGAUGGGAGAGAAGAGGAAAGAAAAAGGAUAUGUCAGGAGCUGAGCAGUGGUGAAAGGAAAUUGAAAGUCAGGAGUAAGCUGAGAAAAAGGGGUCACAAGGAAAAGAAAGGCUGUAUCCAGGGAAAGGGUUAAGAAUAU